Molecule: ribosomal RNA, 478 nt
Filed under: uncultured bacterium
Lineage: Bacteria
Description: partial 16S ribosomal RNA
Rfam family: Bacterial small subunit ribosomal RNA
Source: RNAcentral
GACGAACGCUGGCGGCGUGCUUAACACAUGCAAGUCGAACGGUAAGGCCCUUCGGGGUACACGAGUGGCGAACGGGUGAGUAACACGUGGGUGAUCUGCCCUGCACUUCGGGAUAAGCCUGAGAAACUGGGUCUACUACCGGUUAGGACCACUGCCUGCAUGGGUGGGGGUGGAAAGCUUUUGCGGUGUGGGAUGGGCCCGCGGCCUAGCAGGUUGUGGGUGGGGUGAUGGCCUACCAAGGCGACGCCGGGUAGCCGGCCUGAGAGGGUGACCGGCCACACUGGGACUGAGAUACGGCCCAGACUCCUACGAGAGGCAGCAGUGGGGAAUAUUGCACAAUGGGCGCAAGCCUGAUGCAGCGACGCCGCGUGAGGGAUGACGGCCUUCGGGUUGUAAACCUCUUUCAGCACCGACGAAGCGCAAGUGACGGUAGGUGCAGAAGAAGGACCGGCCAACUACGUGCCAGCAGCCGCGGUAA